UUUAUUUGAUAGCACCUUACUACAUGGAUAACUGUGGUAAUUCUAGAGCUAAAACAUGCUAAAAAUCCCGACUUCGGAAGGGAUGUGUUUAUUAGAUUAAAAACCAAUGCCCUUCGGGGCUCCUUGGUGAUUCAUGAUAACCGCUCGAAUCGCACGGCCUUGCGCCGGCGAUGGUUCAUUCAAAUUUCUUCCCUAUCAACUUUCGAUGCGAAGGUAUUGUCUUCGCAUGGUUACAACGGGUAACGGAGGGUUAGGGCUCGACCCCGGAGAAGGAGCCUGAGAAACGGCUACUACAUCCAAGGAAGGCAGCAGGCGCGCAAAUUACCCAAUCCCGACACGGGGAGGUAGUGACAAUAAAUACUGAUACAGGGCUCUUUUGGGUCUUGUAAUCGGAAUGAGUACAAUUUAAAUCCCUUAACGAGGAACAAUUGGAGGCAAGUCUGGUGCCAGCANNNNGUAAUUCCAGCUCCAAUAGCGUAUAUUAAAGUUGUUGUGGUUAAAAAGCUCGUAGUUGAACCUUGGGCCUGGCUGGCCGGUCCCCCUCACCGGGUGCACUGGUCCGGCCGGGCCUUUCCCUCUGUGGAACCGCAUGCCCUUCACUGGGUGUGCCGGGGAAACAGGACUUUUACUUUGAAAAAAUUAGAGUGCUCCAGGCAGGCCUAUGCUCGAAUACAUUAGCAUGGAAUAAUGGAAUAGGACGUGUGGUUCUAUUUUGUUGGUUUCUAGGACCGCCGUAAUGAUUAAUAGGGACAGUCGGGGGCAUCAGUAUUCAAUUGUCAGAGGUGAAAUUCUUGGAUCUAUUGAAGACUAACUACUGCGAAAGCAUUUGCCAAGGAUGUUUUCAUUGAUAAGGAACGAAAGUUAGGGGAUCGAAGACGAUCAGAUACCGUCGUAGUCUUAACUAUAAACUAUGCCGACUAGGGAUCGGACGGUGUUUAUACUUGACCCGUUCGGCACCUUUCGAGAAAUCAAAGUGCUUGGGCUCCA
RNAcentral lists this ribosomal RNA (987 nucleotides) under Graphium laricis. RNAcentral describes it as "SSU rRNA". It matches the Rfam family "Eukaryotic small subunit ribosomal RNA", at positions 116 to 1116 of the family's 1831-position model. Lineage: Eukaryota; Fungi; Ascomycota; Sordariomycetes; Microascales; Graphiaceae. The record is from RNAcentral.